CCUGCAUGUUUCCUUGAAAUAAUCAUUCCUAACACCUUUAAAAGAAUAUGUCUCAUGGGAGUUCCCUGAUGGCUCAAUGGGUUAAGGGUCUAGCAUUAUCAUUCCGGCAGCUUGGAUCACUGCUGUGGGGUGGGUUCAGUCCCUGACCUGGGAACGUCCACAUGCUGUGGGCUUAUCAACACAAACAAACAAAAAAGAAUAUGUGUCUUUGAGGGUUUUUUUCCUAAGAGAAGUAAGAAAUAAGGAACUACGGAGAUCCUACACAGGCUGAGAUACAGGCCUUCCUAGGGGAGAAUGGUUCAAAAAUGAUAUGCAAUUAGACUAUAUUGGUGAAACCUCAUCAGAUGGAUGUUGUGUGGGAAACAUCCAUUUGGAUCUGAAAAAGGGCCCAGGGAUGUGGGACUGAAGGGUUACUAGGGAGGAGUAUUUUUCCUCACAUAUAAAUCAAGUCAAAGCAUGCCUCUUUCCAUUUGUAGCAGUCUCCUGCCCCCAGGAGUGAGCAUGAAGUUGGAUCCAACACUCCAUCCAUCCUGAGGUCUAGAGGCAUUAAUGGAAGCACGAGCAUGUUCUGGAUGGUUUUGGAGAGAAGAGCAAUCUUCCCUACACAUGAUUGCUUAGAUGAGCCUCCAAACGCUGGCAUGUUCUGAAGAAGGAAGCGGAGAGGCGCGGGCGUUGCAGAGGGAGCCUCGAGCUGAGCUGGGCUGGGAGUCAUUAAAGGAGGCGGCUGUCCCCGGGGCCCCAGACGGCAUCUCAUCAAGAUGCCCUGGAACUCGCCCAGCUUUGCUUCAGAUGUUCCAAGCUCAUUUUGGCUCAACUGGAUGUGGUUUCCAGGAACUCAUCAGGAUAAGGAGACAUGUAUCUUUGCACUGGAUAAACUGA
Molecule: long non-coding RNA, 879 nt
Filed under: Sus scrofa (pig)
Lineage: Eukaryota; Metazoa; Chordata; Mammalia; Artiodactyla; Suidae
Description: lncRNA (ENSSSCG00015046225.1)
Source: RNAcentral